RNAcentral lists this ribosomal RNA (559 nucleotides) under uncultured Glomus. Its description in RNAcentral is "SSU rRNA". It matches the Rfam family "Eukaryotic small subunit ribosomal RNA", at positions 546 to 1106 of the family's 1831-position model. The record is from RNAcentral. Lineage: Eukaryota; Fungi; Glomeromycota; Glomeromycetes; Glomerales; Glomeraceae.
AAUUGGAGGGCAAGUCUGGUGCCAGCAGCCGCGGUAAUUCCAGCUCCAAUAGCGUAUAUUAAAGUUGUUGCAGUUAAAAAGCUCGUAGUUGAAUUUCGGGGUUAGUAGGUUGGUCAUGCCUCUGGUAUGUACUGAUCUCACUGAUUCCUCCUUCCUUAUGAACCGUAAUGCCAUUAAUUUGGUGUUGCGGGGAAUUUGGACUGUUACUUUGAAAAAAUUAGAGUGUUUAAAGCAGGCUAACGCUUGAAUACAUUAGCAUGGAAUAAUGAAAUAGGACGUUCGAUCUUAUUUUGUUGGUUUCUAGGAUUGACGUAAUGAUUAAUAGGGACAGUCGGGGGCAUCAGUAUUCAAUUGUCAGAGGUGAAAUUCUUGGAUUUAUUGAAGACUAACUACUGCGAAAGCAUUUGCCAAGGAUGUUUUCAUUAAUCAGGAACGAAAGUUAGGGGAUCGAAGACGAUCAGAUACCGUCGUAGUCUUAACCAUAAACUAUGCCGACUAGGGAUCGGAUGAUGUUAAUUUUUUAAUGACUCAUUCGGCGCCUUACGGGAAACCAAAGUGU